RNAcentral lists this long non-coding RNA (714 nucleotides) under Elaeis guineensis (African oil palm). RNAcentral describes it as "long non-coding RNA (EGUI_LNC041901)". Lineage: Eukaryota; Viridiplantae; Streptophyta; Magnoliopsida; Arecales; Arecaceae. The record is from RNAcentral.
UCUCCUCUAAUAUUCUCUCUCUAGAUGAUUUAUGAAUCUAGUGAACUCGAACUGUUAUUUUGAAUUCGAGUCAAUGCUGGUAGAAAAUUUUGAACCACUCUAUCAAUCAGAUGACAUGACCACAUUAUUCGAGCCUUUAUCAAGUAUCGCAAGAUCUAAUCCUUAUUCAUCUCUAUCAAAUCAUUAUAUUUUAAAUAAUUAUGAUUAGAUGAAGCUACUUGAUCAAAUUAAUCCCUGACUGUAAUUGGUGUACUGAUCUCCACUUUGAUUUUUGUUAGAUACAACUGAUCUGAUCACCAUUGAUCUUCAUUGAUUCAUUUAUUUUUAGUCUAAUCAUGAUCUAAUAAAACUAUCUCGAUUGGACUGACUAAAAUAUUGAAUGCUAUCAUUUUUGUCAGCCUUAUGAGAGUAUCAAAACUUAUAAGAUUUUUAUUAGUUAUGGCUUAAGACUGAUAGAAGAAUAUAUUUUAAAUAAUAGAUUCUGAUCGAUGCUUUCAGGAUUGAUUGAAUCUAUCCAUUUAGUAUUCUGUGGAGAUAAAUAAUAAACCAUCUCCUCAGGAUAUUUCAUAAUUUAUUUUGAAAGUAAAUAAGUAGUCUUUAAAUUAUGCAUGAUUUAUGAAAUUAUAUUUUGUAUGGAAAGUAAUUUACCAAUUUAAGAUCUCUAAAAUAUUAUGGUUUAUUGAUUUAUUAUAGAAUACGAUAAGUUCAGUGAAA